Mercurialis annua (annual mercury) is the source of this 1585-nucleotide RNA transcript. It is a transcript of the gene named homeobox-leucine zipper protein ATHB-8-like, with no coding region annotated. NCBI's taxonomy places the organism in Eukaryota, Viridiplantae, Streptophyta, Magnoliopsida, Malpighiales, Euphorbiaceae. The record is from RefSeq and is a predicted model, not a curated record. The transcript has 9 exons.
ACAACAAAUUAAUAGAUUAGGGACGAAAUUAUUAAGGACCAUAAAAGUUUAGUAAACCUACCAAAUUUCUAAAUUUGUCUUAAAUUGUUAUUAGGCAAAAAAGGGGAAAAGAAAUCGUCGCUCACUGUGUAAGAUAUCUACAAUAAAACAAUUUAAAAUCAUUCUAAAAAAUAAAUUAAAAUCAUAUUCUCCCUCUCAAAUAAAAAUCGCUCAGAUGAAAUUCUUUCUUCUUUUUUCGAACAACUGUUCACCAGCUAGGGUUUCAUGAUCAUAUCUACAAAACUAUAAUGAAAACACUCGAAUUCAAACAAGAUGCAUGUGAUUCAGAGUGAGCCGAUUAUCUAUUGACAGAUUUAAUGGCGGUGAAGAUCUCCUCCUCGAGGCGGACUUUCUUCAAUGUCACAAACAUCGGAGUGAGUGAGAAGGAAGAGUUUGUGAGUAACACGAGGUUUAUUUUGUUUAAUUGGAUGCGUGAGUGUUGCUUACAACGGAUGAUUUUUGUUUUUUUUUUGCUUUCUUUAACAAGGUUACUGUUGCUUAUAACAAGGAUACCAGCCCUAACAAGUUGAAUUUGGGCGUUGGCGCUUACAGAACUGAGGAAUGGGAGCCUCUUGUUUCGAAUGUAGUGAAAGAAGCUGAACAGAUGCUUGUAAAUGUCCUGUUGGAGCACAAACAGAGACAUGUCUUAAAGAAAAGAAGUUGAGAGUUGAAGAUGCUCUUAAUGCAACAAAGGCUCAGUAUAUUUAAAAGCUGGUGAAGAUAGCCGGGAUAAAAAAUAGCUGCUUCCAGAGUUAAAGCAAAGGCAACUUAUGAUGUAUAUGAAGCCAUAUACUCCAAGAUUGCUCUCUCAAUACUUGAAGAAGAACAAAAAGGAAACAAAGUGGCUUGUCUGUUGUUUGGGGGAUCAAGAAAGGCAUAUCCUGAAACUUCUCUCUCUAUAUCCUGGAUAAUUGUGGAACUUAUUGAUAACCGUUACUAAUUUUCACGCUAACAUAGGAUUUUCUUGAUGGGGUGAAGCUAACAGGUGACAUCAAUGUGUUGUUUUGGGUGACCCUCGCAGUGUACCUGAAGUGUGGCGCCCCUUUUAUGAGUCGUCAACGUUGCUAGCUCAGAAGACAACAAUGGCAGUUAGCCUUUUCUAUGCGUAUCUCAUUCAUAAUAUUUUUCUACCUCUAUAAUGAAUCGAAAACAUUGACAUCAGUGAGAGUAACAACGCUUUCUCUUAACGCAGGCUUUAAGAUAUCUAAGACAAAUUUCUCAAGAAAUGUCUCAGCCAAAUGUCUUUGGUUGGGGAAGAAGACCAGCUGCUUUACGUGCACUUAGUCAGAGAUUCAGCAAGUAUGAGUUUAAUGUUUUCUACUUUGAAAUUCUUAAUAUUAUGUAAUUGUACCUGGUCGCAGUGCACUUAGCGACAGCUCCUCUAGAUUUCAAGAAGAUAUUUGUGGAAAAUAAUUCCGUAGCAGAGAAGGCGCUCAAUGUUUAGUAUUUUUUAUGCAUAUUUUGGUGAAUAUUUUCUGUUUGUGAUGUAAUGGAUGGAUGAAAUAUUUUCCGAUUUUGAAUUUUAUGAAUAUUUUCUGUUUUUUAA